Non-coding RNA from Meleagris gallopavo (turkey), 1791 nucleotides. The record is from RefSeq and is a predicted model, not a curated record. NCBI's taxonomy places the organism in Eukaryota, Metazoa, Chordata, Aves, Galliformes, Phasianidae.
UCACCUACGGCAGCACAGUGGGAUUGCAACCCACUCCUGAGAGCAGCUGUGUGUGUGUGAGGUACCUCAAGUGCCCACGGUGCCCCUCCAGCUGCAGGUCCAUACUCUUCCCAGGGACACCCUUUCAUUUUUCAUCGUUAUCAAGGAGAGAUAGGAGUUGUUUCAAGCCAGUUAAGUGCACGUGCAGAUAUGAUACUGUAAAGUCUGAAAGAAGCAGAAACAGAUCCUUCCUUGCACCCCAUGGAGCUGAGCAGACAACUGCCUGCACCAGGCCAUGGGCACUGCAGAUCCGGGAAGUGGAGGUUUGUGGUGAGGGAGAAAGUGAAGAUGAAGUGGAAAGAAGGGGAGAGAAAAUAGACACAAUACAUGCAAACCCACACAAACAGCUGAAACAUUGCAAAAAUGUUUAAUGAUAGCUUAUUAAAACCAAGAGGACAAAAUAAUCCACCCAGGAUGGCAACUUGGGGCUGCUCAUUCCCUCUCCAGAAAAAAAGUUUGUGUUUCUCCUGAGGGUCCCAGGAGGCUCAGAGAGCAGAAGACACUGACAAUAUGCUACAGGAAAGAAGGGGGAAAAAAAGGUAAUUACGGAAAAGAUUCAGAGGAAAGCUUGUUUCUGCACAGCUGCCGAGGGCAAGUGGGAGCAGAACGUGCAGCAGGAGCUGCUGGCUCCAGGCUUGCAGGCAAUCAGCGGAUCGCACCCAAGAAGCAAAGCCAGCUGAGGCAGGCUCAUCCUGAGCCACAAAAAGGCUGGAGAAGGGGGGGAAGAGGACUUUGUGCUGCAAGCUACAGGGAGAGGAACUACAGAGGAGAACCUGGGUUGGAUAUGUUGCAUGGGGAAAGACCUGACCUAUGUCCUGUGUUGUCCAGUUUGACUAGUGCUAGAUAAGUUUGAAUGGACAUGGAGAAACUAUCAGAAAAAUACUUGCAUUGGGAGACUGGCUUGCCAAAUGAAGUCCAAAAAAACCCUGAACUUCUGCAAUAGUAAGGUCCAGACAUCCUAACUACAACUGUCAUAAAAUGGAGUGGCGGCAGAAGAUGCAGCACCAAGAAAUGAUAUUGGUUUAGACUCAACAUUGGUAAGUGAAAGAGCACAGUGGAAGAGCUGUAACUGGAAAAUAAUGAUGGACAGAGUGACUUACUUAAAACUUAGGCCAUAUUUGACUUAUUUUAAACAGAACAGACAGAUAAACAGUAGUAGAGUGCUGCCUAAAGGUCCCUGGUUUCAAAAGGGCAAACACGUGUCUUGGAUAUAAAAUAGAAGUUCAGAUGUCUUCAAACCAAAUGCAAAACUCCCCAGAGAAUGCAUGUGAAGCAUGGAAAAAAAUACUCAAGGAGCAGCUCCUGAGUAGCUCCUACCUUGCUGAAAUGAAUAUUGUAAUAGGAACAGAAGGAAUAAGGAGAGAGCAUAAAAAGGGAAAUGAUAAAGCAGCAGAGAAAGUUUUUUAGGGGCUGUGAAGUAGAGAGAUGGAGUGAGAAAUGCCAGAAGUCAAACUGAAUUAGACCUUAGGAAGGAUAUUAAAACAAAUAGUGAAAGGUUCUCCAGCCAUACAAACACAAAGAUAAUAAAGACUGAACAGGCAAUGCUGUGAGCAGGACAGGGGAAGAGUUCACAAAAAUCUAGGUGAGGCCCCAAGACUAAAUGCAUUCUUCUCUGCAGCUCUGAACAGAGACAAUAAUUGUAAGCAUAUGAACUAAGCUGGGUAACCAGCUGGGAAAGUUGUAGAACGGCUUCGUUUGGAGGGGACACUGCAGAUCUAUAGUUCCAACCGCCCUGCUGUGGGCUGGUUACCA